Molecule: ribosomal RNA, 424 nt
Filed under: uncultured bacterium
Lineage: Bacteria
Description: partial 16S ribosomal RNA
Rfam family: Bacterial small subunit ribosomal RNA
Source: RNAcentral
AAUAUUGGACAAUGGGCGAAAGCCUGAUCCAGCCAUGCCGCGUGUGUGAAGAAGGUCUUCGGAUUNUAAAGCACUUUAAGUUGGGCNGAAGGUCAGUAAUUCAAUACCUUGCUGCUUUCACGUUACCAACAGAAUAAGCACCGGCUAACUUCGUGCCAGCAGCCGCGGUAAUACGAAGGGUGCAAGCGUUAAUCGGAAUUACUGGGCGUAAAGCGGGCGUAGGUGGUUUGUUAAGUUGGAAGUGAAAGCCCCGGGGUAAACCUGGGAACUGCUUUAAAAACUGGCAAGCUAGAGUACGGUAGAGGGUAGUGGAAUUUCCUGUGUAGCGGUGAAAUGCGUAGAUAUAGGAAGGAACAUCAGUGGCGAAGGCGACUACCUGGACUGAUACUGACACUGAGGUGCGAAAGCGUGGGGAGCAAACAGG